This is a long non-coding RNA of Bos taurus (domestic cattle), 286 nucleotides long. Lineage: Eukaryota; Metazoa; Chordata; Mammalia; Artiodactyla; Bovidae. The record is from Ensembl.
CUUCAAACACAUCCACUUAUUUAGGAAGUAAAUGAGGGCCAUCCUAUGAAAUGGAUUGACAGUAAGAUAUUCUAAUUAUUCAUUCUGUUUCUAGCAUUUGACAGUGAGCAUGGGGAUUCCAGUGCAGAGGAAACCAUUUCUGCUUAAUGACCCUGGCUGCAGUGAAGAUGAAAUAGAUGUGGCUUCCUCCCUCCAUCCCUUAUCCUGGCCUCAUCAGAAUCACAGCUUCUUAAGGGCUCAAUGGUAAAGAAUCCACCUACAAUGCAGGAGACUCAGGAGACUCCGU